RNAcentral lists this ribosomal RNA (1532 nucleotides) under Salmonella enterica subsp. enterica. RNAcentral describes it as "bacterial SSU rRNA". It matches the Rfam family "Bacterial small subunit ribosomal RNA". The record is from RNAcentral. Lineage: Bacteria; Pseudomonadati; Pseudomonadota; Gammaproteobacteria; Enterobacterales; Enterobacteriaceae.
AGAGUUUGAUCAUGGCUCAGAUUGAACGCUGGCGGCAGGCCUAACACAUGCAAGUCGAACGGUAACAGGAAGCAGCUUGCUGCUUCGCUGACGAGUGGCGGACGGGUGAGUAAUGUCUGGGAAAACUGCCUGAUGGAGGGGGAUAACUACUGGAAACGGUGGCUAAUACCGCAUAACGUCGCAAGACCAAAGAGGGGGACCUUCGGGCCUCUUGCCAUCAGAUGUGCCCAGAUGGGAUUAGCUAGUUGGUGAGGUAACGGCUCACCAAGGCGACGAUCCCUAGCUGGUCUGAGAGGAUGACCAGCCACACUGGAACUGAGACACGGUCCAGACUCCUACGGGAGGCAGCAGUGGGGAAUAUUGCACAAUGGGCGCAAGCCUGAUGCAGCCAUGCCGCGUGUAUGAAGAAGGCCUUCGGGUUGUAAAGUACUUUCAGCGGGGAGGAAGGUGUUGUGGUUAAUAACCACAGCAAUUGACGUUACCCGCAGAAGAAGCACCGGCUAACUCCGUGCCAGCAGCCGCGGUAAUACGGAGGGUGCAAGCGUUAAUCGGAAUUACUGGGCGUAAAGCGCACGCAGGCGGUCUGUCAAGUCGGAUGUGAAAUCCCCGGGCUCAACCUGGGAACUGCAUUCGAAACUGGCAGGCUUGAGUCUUGUAGAGGGGGGUAGAAUUCCAGGUGUAGCGGUGAAAUGCGUAGAGAUCUGGAGGAAUACCGGUGGCGAAGGCGGCCCCCUGGACAAAGACUGACGCUCAGGUGCGAAAGCGUGGGGAGCAAACAGGAUUAGAUACCCUGGUAGUCCACGCCGUAAACGAUGUCUACUUGGAGGUUGUGCCCUUGAGGCGUGGCUUCCGGAGCUAACGCGUUAAGUAGACCGCCUGGGGAGUACGGCCGCAAGGUUAAAACUCAAAUGAAUUGACGGGGGCCCGCACAAGCGGUGGAGCAUGUGGUUUAAUUCGAUGCAACGCGAAGAACCUUACCUGGUCUUGACAUCCACAGAACUUUCCAGAGAUGGACUGGUGCCUUCGGGAACUGUGAGACAGGUGCUGCAUGGCUGUCGUCAGCUCGUGUUGUGAAAUGUUGGGUUAAGUCCCGCAACGAGCGCAACCCUUAUCCUUUGUUGCCAGCGGUCCGGCCGGGAACUCAAAGGAGACUGCCAGUGAUAAACUGGAGGAAGGUGGGGAUGACGUCAAGUCAUCAUGGCCCUUACGACCAGGGCUACACACGUGCUACAAUGGCGCAUACAAAGAGAAGCGACCUCGCGAGAGCAAGCGGACCUCAUAAAGUGCGUCGUAGUCCGGAUUGGAGUCUGCAACUCGACUCCAUGAAGUCGGAAUCGCUAGUAAUCGUGGAUCAGAAUGCCACGGUGAAUACGUUCCCGGGCCUUGUACACACCGCCCGUCACACCAUGGGAGUGGGUUGCAAAAGAAGUAGGUAGCUUAACCUUCGGGAGGGCGCUUACCACUUUGUGAUUCAUGACUGGGGGUGAAGUCGUAACAAGGUAACCGUAGGGGAACCUGCGGUUGGAUCACCU